Molecule: ribosomal RNA, 499 nt
Filed under: uncultured bacterium
Lineage: Bacteria
Description: partial 16S ribosomal RNA
Rfam family: Bacterial small subunit ribosomal RNA
Source: RNAcentral
ACUCAAAUGAAUAGACGGGGGCCCGCACAAGCGGUGGAGCAUGUGGUUUAAUUCGACGCAACGCGAAGAACCUUACCUAGGCUUGACAUGUAUAGAAGUCCUUGGAAACUUGGAUGUGCUCGCAAGAGAGCUAUAACACAGGUGCUGCAUGGCUGUCGUCAGCUCGUGUCGUGAGAUGUUGGGUUAAGUCCCGCAACGAGCGCAACCCUUGUCGUUAGUUGCCAGCAUUUAGUUGGGAACUCUAACGAGACUGCCGUGGUUAACACGGAGGAAGGUGGGGAUGACGUCAAGUCCUCAUGGCCUUUAUGCUUAGGGCUACACACGUGCUACAAUGCGUACUACAGAGGGCUGCGAAACCGCGAGGUGAAGCCAAUCCCACAAAAGUGCGCUAAGUUCAGAUUGGAGUCUGCAACUCGACUCCAUGAAGCUGGAAUCGCUAGUAAUCGCGGAUCAGAACGCCGCGGUGAAUACGUUCCCGGGCCUUGUACACACCGCCCGU